CCGCAGCAGGCACCGCUCGCUCCAGCUGCAAAAAGGUUUCAGAUGUCCCACCACUGCCUGACCCCCUGCAAAUAAGGGCUGACCACCAGAGGCACAUCCCACCUCUGACUUGUAAUCGCUGACAUUUAGGCUACAGCUUCCAACCUGUUUACAACCAAAGGGGGAGGGAAAGGAAAGGAAAGGAAGGGCGGGGGGGACAAGUUGGGAUUUCUCCCUCUCCCUUUCUCUCGGGAUUUUUUUUUUUUUUUUUAAUACUGUUCUGGAGAAUUCAAGGCAAAACAAAGAAACUUCCUCCUCUGGGGUUGUCAGUGAGAAAAGGAAGAGUUGUGCAACUGGUUUGGGAUUUGCAAAAAGGCAAGAGGGUGGGGAUCAGAAGAAGGUGCAAAGCCACAAAGUACCUUUCUGCAUCUAAGAUGGUGAAGAAAGGAGUGAGGAAGAGAACAAAAUAACUACUGGAAAGUCUCAAACCAGUGCGGGGAGACACGUGCGGAGCUACAAUCACCUCCAAGGAGACGUGCGCAAGAGGAAGCUCUAUUCUUACAACAAGUACUUUCUCAAGAUCGAGAAGAACGGCAAGGUCAGCGGCACCAAGAAGGAGAACUGCCCGUUCAGUAAGUACGGCUCUGCCGCCGCGC
This 635-nucleotide long non-coding RNA is filed under the name Cyanistes caeruleus (blue tit). RNAcentral's name for it is "lncRNA (ENSCCEG00000001760.1)". The record is from RNAcentral. Lineage: Eukaryota; Metazoa; Chordata; Aves; Passeriformes; Paridae.